Lasius niger is the source of this 47-nucleotide regulatory RNA element. It matches the Rfam family "Histone 3' UTR stem-loop". From Rfam's summary of the family: The mRNAs of metazoan histone genes lack a poly-A tail. 3' end processing occurs at a site between a highly conserved stem-loop (modelled by this family) and a purine rich region around 20 nts downstream (the histone downstream element, or HDE). The record is from Rfam. NCBI's taxonomy places the organism in Eukaryota, Metazoa, Arthropoda, Insecta, Hymenoptera, Formicidae.
CAAUCGGCCCUUUUCAGGGCCACACAUGCAAAUCCAAAAAUAAUUAU